RNAcentral lists this small RNA (99 nucleotides) under Escherichia coli. RNAcentral describes it as "partial RtT sRNA". It matches the Rfam family "RtT RNA", at positions 1 to 95 of the family's 130-position model. From Rfam's summary of the family: This family represents a bacterial cis-regulatory element known as RtT RNA. Lineage: Bacteria; Pseudomonadati; Pseudomonadota; Gammaproteobacteria; Enterobacterales; Enterobacteriaceae. The record is from RNAcentral.
UGCAUCUGUAGCCCAUGAGGAAGAGAACCUCCGGGGGCAGGGAGGUUCGACUCGAGCGAAGCGAGAGAACGUUGCGCCAGCAACGGCCCGCAGGGCGAG